Molecule: unclassified non-coding RNA, 253 nt
Filed under: uncultured Verrucomicrobiota bacterium
Lineage: Bacteria; Pseudomonadati; Verrucomicrobiota
Description: uncultured Verrucomicrobia bacterium contains 16S-23S intergenic spacer region
Rfam family: Bacterial small subunit ribosomal RNA
Source: RNAcentral
UACGAAGGUCCCGAGCGUUGUUCGGAAUCACUGGGCGGAAAGGGAGCGUAGGCGGCGCGGUAAGUCAGAUGUGAAAUCCCGGGGCUCAACCCCGGAACUGCAUCCGAUACUGCCGUGCUAGAGGAUUGGAGAGGUAGUUGGAAUUCUCGGUGUAGCAGUGAAAUGCGUAGAGAUCGAGAGGAACACUCGUGGCGAAAGCGAGCUACUGGACAAUAUCUUACGCUGAGGCUCAAAGGCCAGGGUAGCGAAAGGG